Molecule: long non-coding RNA, 1339 nt
Filed under: Homo sapiens (human)
Lineage: Eukaryota; Metazoa; Chordata; Mammalia; Primates; Hominidae
Description: HSALNT0074835
Source: RNAcentral
AAGACUUCUACAUAGAACACUAUAACAUAUUAUUGUAAGAAACUGCAGAACUAAAUAAACAGAGAGCUAUGUCAUGAUCAGACUUAGAAGACUCAGUAAAGUUGUCAUUCUCUCUCCAAUUGUUCUAUAGAUUCAUUUCACUACCAGGUCAAAGACACAAUCAAAAGCCCGACAAAUGGAAUUUGUGGAAUUGGAACAAAAAGAGCUUUUCUUCCUAGGCACAAGAACAUCAAAGCAUAAAUCCUUCAGGUAUCAGCAAUGACAUCACUUAAGAAUUUCUCAGAAUCUUUGGCACCACCCCAGGCCUACCGGAUCAGAAUCUGAAUUUUUUAACAAGAUCUCAGAUCUAGUCAAGAGUCCAGUCUGAUUUCUCUUUAUUGGGACUACCACCCAAAGCAGAAUGAGGAUGAUGUAACCACGCCCAGUGACUUCUGGAUACCACUGACUCUAGAUCCUGAAUUCCAGCAGAAUGGCUGACACCAACUGGUCUGAAGACCCUCACCAAGGAACUGACUCAGUGCAGGAAUGCAGUUUCUUCAUCUCCCUAUCCCUGACUUCACCCCUCACUUCUCAACCAAUCAGUGAUCACCACACUUUAGGCCAUCACCUGUGUCCAGACCCCUUAAAAACCCCAUCUGCAAACCUCUUGAAGAGGCAUAUUUGAGGUUUCCUCUCAUCUCCUCAUUUGGUUUCCCUACAAUUAUUAAAUUCUUUCUCUGCUGCAACUCCUACUUUUUCAGUGUAUUGGUCUGUUACUGUGCAACAGGAAAUCAGACCUGGUGGUCCUAUAGUAAGAGUUCACAGAAUAUGAUAUACAAAGUGAUCUGUGAUAUACAAAAACCGGCACAAUCUCACUCUUAAUAAGAAAAAUUCAACUUAAAAUUAAAAGUUUUUUUUCCUCAGAAUGGCAAAGAUCAAAGUUUGAUAACAUGGUUGGAAAGUAUGCAGACCGAUAUUCUCAUAUUCAUUGAUGAAGUGUAAAUUGAUACAUCCUUUGUCAGUACGGACAGGUUUCCCAACUCUAGGGGUGAAAUUUAUACAGACUACAGUGUGAAUGACAACCACUUCAAAUUGGGUGAUAUGAUGACCUUGACUCUGUGGAGGGUCAUUUGGCAAAAUAUCUCAAAAUAAAAAUGUACAUACAAUUUGACUCAGUGAUUUUGCUUUCUGGAAUGUUUCCUGCAUGUGUGAAUUUAUAUAUGUACAAUGAAAUGCUUCACAAUAGAACAUUCUUCAGCCAUUAAAUAGAAUGAGGCAGUUCUAUAGAUUCUCUAUUGGAAUGAUCUCCAUGAUAUCCUGUUUAGUGGGAGAAAGCAAGUUGUGGAAGAGGAACUUUAAU